UAUACAGUAUUUUUCUUUCUUUGUCUGACUUAUUUCACUUAGCAUAAUGUCCUCAAGUUUCACCCAUGUUGUUGGAAAUGGCAGGAUUUCGUUCUUCCCCAUGACAGAAUAAUACUCACUCCUAUGUAUGUGUGUGGGUGUAUGUGUGUGUAUACAUGUAUAUAUAGCUUGAGGUUGUUUUAUAAUAAGGCACGUGGUAAAGCAUGUAAAUAAAAAUCUUCAGUGCUUUUUUGAUACAUCUUAAGCAUGCAAUCACUGUACUAUUCUAAUUAGUAUAUCAAGUGAUCUUUCCCAGUAAUUGUGUUUUCUUGCCCUGGAUUCUGAUACUCAUUUAUGGUUCUGCCUUCUUGUCCAGAUGCAGCAAUUUUGUUCCUGUCUCCUUGUUGGCCACCUUUCUAGCCUUCCUGACUUGCUCUUAAUCCUGCCUGAUAUUAAAGUGCUUACUGGCCCUGAUCUUGCUGCUGUUUCAUGGUCUGGCCUCUUGGCACCUGCUAUUCCAUCAGCCACAAUGCCCUCUGCCCGCUGUGUGCCCUGACCCUGGCUCAUACUCCCCUUCUCUCAGGAAGGACUCAUUCACCCUCUUUGGUGGAGCCCCUCAGUUUGCCCUCUGCCUUUUGGCAUAUUAUGCUUCUUGUGCAGCCCACUGUCUAGUAGACAUGCUUUAGUCUACCAUCUUUCACUGUCUGAAAAGAAGCAACCGAAUAGAACAGAAUGCUAUUGUUUAUCCCGGGGUCCAUAGAUUCUGCCCCUGACUCCGCUAGAGGCAGGGUGACGCCCAUCUCCUGGGAUCUGAAGCAGUUCCUGGGGGAAGGAGGGUGUGUGGAGCAGUGGGAUGUAGGAGGGCCAGGGAAUAGGGGACCUUGAGGUUCCUGUCCACAUUCUGCCCAUCACUUGCUAUGAGUUUUAGGGCUACCACUUUUCCUUUUUAUGAGAAUGGCCCCUCUGUCUUUCAUCUUCUCUUUCAUGGACAGUUCAGUUCAGUUCAGUUCAGUUGCUCAGUCAUGUCCAACUCUUUG
RNAcentral lists this long non-coding RNA (1016 nucleotides) under Capra hircus (goat). RNAcentral describes it as "lncRNA (ENSCHIG00010002503.1)". Lineage: Eukaryota; Metazoa; Chordata; Mammalia; Artiodactyla; Bovidae. The record is from RNAcentral.